RNAcentral lists this ribosomal RNA (372 nucleotides) under Buchholzia fallax. RNAcentral's name for it is "partial 12S ribosomal RNA". It matches the Rfam family "Bacterial small subunit ribosomal RNA", at positions 874 to 1415 of the family's 1533-position model. Lineage: Eukaryota; Metazoa; Annelida; Clitellata; Enchytraeida; Enchytraeidae. The record is from RNAcentral.
UCGAGAUAUAAAUAAAAUUUACUGGACAAUACUAUCUAUAGAUAAAAAUUCAAAGGAUAUGGCGGUGUUCUUAUAUAAUCAGGGGAACCUGUUGCUUAAUUCGAUACUCCACGAUAUCUUUACCUAAUUUAACUAGCUUAUGUACUGCUGUCGCCAGUAAACCUAUUAUAGAUAGUUUACUUCAUAAUUAACACCUAAUUACGUCAAGUCAAAGUGUGGCUUAUAGUUAGGGGUAAAAUGGGUUACAAUCUUAACAAAGAUACAGAAAUGAAUUUAAACAUCAUAGAAGGUGGACUUGAAAGUAAUAUUCACACGCCAAUAUAAAAAUUUCUAAGGCAUGUACAUAUCGCCCGUCACUCUCAUCAUUUAGAC